ACGUAGGUGGCGAGCGUUAUCCGGAAUUAUUGGGCGUAAAGAGGGAGCAGGCGGCACUAAGGGUCUGUGGUGAAAGAUCGAAGCUUAACUUCGGUAAGCCAUGGAAACCGUAGAGCUAGAGUGUGUGAGAGGAUCGUGGAAUUCCAUGUGUAGCGGUGAAAUGCGUAGAUAUAUGGAGGAACACCAGUGGCGAAGGCGACGAUCUGGCGCAUAACUGACGCUCAGUCCCGAAAGCGUGGGGAGCAAAUAG
Molecule: ribosomal RNA, 250 nt
Filed under: uncultured bacterium
Lineage: Bacteria
Description: partial 16S ribosomal RNA
Rfam family: Bacterial small subunit ribosomal RNA
Source: RNAcentral